GACGAACGCUGGCGGCGUGCCUAAUACAUGCAAGUUGAGCGCUGAAGGUUGGUACUUGUACCAACUGGAUGAGCAGCGAACGGGUGAGUAGCGCGUGGGGAAUCUGCCUUUGAGCGGGGGACAACAUUUGGAAACGAAUGCUAAUACCGCAUAAAAACUUUAAACACAAGUUUUAAGUUUGAAAGAUGCAAUUGCAUCACUCAAAGAUGAUCCCGCGUUGUAUUAGCUAGUUGGUGAGGUAAAGGCUCACCAAGGCGAUGAUACAUAGCCGACCUGAGAGGGUGAUCGGCCAAAUUGGGACUGAGACACGGCCCAAACUCCUACGGGAGGCAGCAGUAGGGAAUCUUCGGCAAUGGACGAAAGUCUGAACGAGCAACGCCGCGUGAGUGAAGAAGGUUUUCGGAUCGUAAAACUCUGUUGGUAGAGAAGAACGUUGGUGAGAGUGGAAAGCUCAUCAAGUGACGGUAACUACCCAGAAAGGGACGGCUAACUACGUG
RNAcentral lists this ribosomal RNA (497 nucleotides) under uncultured bacterium. RNAcentral's name for it is "partial 16S ribosomal RNA". It matches the Rfam family "Bacterial small subunit ribosomal RNA", at positions 28 to 507 of the family's 1533-position model. The record is from RNAcentral.